GCAGUGGUGGUUCAGAAGGAGAACAUUUGCCUUGUGUGCUGGAGACCUGGGUUAGAUUUCUGGCCAAUGCA
RNAcentral lists this transfer RNA (71 nucleotides) under Loxodonta africana (African savanna elephant). It matches the Rfam family "tRNA". Rfam says of the family: Transfer RNA (tRNA) molecules are approximately 80 nucleotides in length. The record is from Rfam by way of RNAcentral. Lineage: Eukaryota; Metazoa; Chordata; Mammalia; Proboscidea; Elephantidae.